Gossypium raimondii (Peruvian cotton) is the source of this 140-nucleotide non-coding RNA. The record is from Rfam. NCBI's taxonomy places the organism in Eukaryota, Viridiplantae, Streptophyta, Magnoliopsida, Malvales, Malvaceae.
UGUGAAAAAAUUCAUCGAUUUCUAUAAUUAAAAACUGACGUGGUUGACAAAUAACCAGAUAGUACGUGUUGUGCUACGUGUACCUCAUUUUGACUUAUAUGGACCAGUUUUUAACCGUAAAAAUGAAUGAAAUUUUAACA